This is a long non-coding RNA of Lolium perenne, 782 nucleotides long. RefSeq lists it as uncharacterized. The record is from RefSeq and is a predicted model, not a curated record. Lineage: Eukaryota; Viridiplantae; Streptophyta; Magnoliopsida; Poales; Poaceae.
UUUUUUAACCCUAGCGGUCAAUAGGUCAAACAUCUCGUUUAAUGCCCAAAUUAGCGUCGCCGCCGCCACUAGCCUCCUCGUAGCACCGUCGCCACCUCUUCCGACGAGCACUGCCGCGGAGUGGUGCUUCCCUUCGAAGGCGCGCCUCAUGAAGAUCACGCCCCACGCCUCCCGGCAACCAUAGUCCUUCGAUCCCCUAGCAUAGCCAGCUCGGAGGCCCCCUCCUCCUCACGUGCGAGAUCACGGCCGAUGCCUAACCGAGGACUUCUCCUCCGCGACCAAGUCUGCUGCGUCAUCGCUCUCUUCACCAGCUGGAUCGGACCGCCAGCCACCACAACAGAAUCGAAGUCAGCGGCCGCCGCCUUCCUCGCCCACGGGAUCGGACGCCACUCGUCAAGGUCAGUCAAUUGCUUCAAGAUGCGAGGCUGCCAGCUCCUGAUGACUCAUGCAUUGUGUUGUGCACAUGGUGAGAAACUGAGCACUGAGGACUGAGCACGAGGAUGUUUCUACUACCGGGGCUUGUCCUGCGUCAGCCACUCAGCCAUCAUCAUGUAAAAUAGGUUUAUGCCGGAGAAGCACAAGGAAUGGACAGAUUUUGACGCGAGGAUCUAUGCAGAUUAUUAGGAAUCUAGGCUUGAGCUAUUGCUCUGUUCAUUGCAAGAUGAGAUGAUGGUGGCAUUUCUUGGUUGAAUGCGCUUCUAAACAGUUUCUCUUUAUGAAUGUACAUGGGUUCUUGUGAUAAACAAUAUUCAUGACAAACAUAAUGAACCAGUUUAUUUUUA